This 1037-nucleotide long non-coding RNA is filed under the name Moschus moschiferus (Siberian musk deer). Its description in RNAcentral is "lncRNA (ENSMMSG00000002785.1)". Lineage: Eukaryota; Metazoa; Chordata; Mammalia; Artiodactyla; Moschidae. The record is from RNAcentral.
CACGGUUGGGGUGCCUCCUAACGCUGAGCCGGCCUGAGACCUGGGAGCUGGAAGGCCGCUGUGCCUGCUAUUCCGAGGCGAGUCUCAGGCUCGGCGUGGGCGCCAUCCGACCUGACUCUGUCUCGGGGUCGCGACGGGGUCUGCAGAGCCCGAUCCCGCAUUCACCAACGGACUUCUUUGGCGGCAGCCACAUUGAUGGUUCCGACUCAGGUUCCACAUUCAGAAGAACCACUUAUGGACCCGUCACUGGUGAGUGUCUGGUGUCCUGGAUGUCUUUGCUGCUACUCUUUCUGGACUUGGUGUCUAGAGACCCUAGAGAAACCCUCAGCCCAGGUUUCCAAGUCCAAGCCAGAGGUUCCAUGGGGAGAUUCACAUUUUUGGCAGCCAAUGGCCUAAAUGUGAAAGCUUAUCUUAGGUACUGGGGGAAAUCCACACAAAUACUUGAGGAUGCAACUGAGAUGGGUGUGUUUUAGAGCUUGUAAGUCUCUGUUAAUGUCUGGUGAGGACAGAGAGCAAGAAAGCCAGAGUAAGGCCUAGAAAGAUACUCUGCUGAGAAGCUGUGCUCUCAGAAGUCUGUUCAGAGUGAUGGCUGCUACUGCUGCUGCUAAGUCACUUCAGUCGUGUCCGACUCUGUGUGACCCCAUAGACGGAAGCCCACCAGGCUCCCCUGUCCCUGGGAUUCUCCAGCAGCCAUGGAGUAUUUGGAAUAGAGAAGAAGAGUGAUCUUACUUAGGUUUUAAGAGGCUCCCUCUUCAGUGGAGAGUGCAGAACAGACUAGGGGAGGGAAAGACAAGGAGAUAAUCAAGGAGGCUAUUGUAGUCAUCCAGAUGAGCAUUGGUUGUGACUGGACAGAGGGGUGGAUAUGGAGGUAGGAGAAAUACCUGGCUUCAGGAUUUUUACAAGUAGGGCUGACCAGAUUUUCUAAAAUGGAGGGGUCAUACAUAACACCAGAGUUUAUUCCCUUUGCAUCUGGAAGGGUGGAAGUUGCAUUAACUGAUCCAGGGAAGUCAGUGGUAGCAGUCGUUUUCACUGAGAAU